UACGAAGGUCCCAAGCGUUAUCCGGAUUUAUUGGGCUUAAAGGGUGCGUAGGCGGGUUAUUAAGUCAGUGGUGAAAGCCUACAGCUUAACUGUAGAACUGCCAUUGAUACUGAUGAUCUUGAGUACACUUGAAGUGGGCGGAAUAUGUCAUGUAGAGGUGAAAUUCUUAGAGAUGACAUAGAACACCGAUUGCGAAGGCAGCUCACUAAAUUGUAACUGACGCUGAGGCACGAAAGCGUGGGGAUCAAACAGG
Molecule: ribosomal RNA, 253 nt
Filed under: uncultured bacterium
Lineage: Bacteria
Description: partial 16S ribosomal RNA
Rfam family: Bacterial small subunit ribosomal RNA
Source: RNAcentral